This is a non-coding RNA of Corylus avellana, 1634 nucleotides long. NCBI's taxonomy places the organism in Eukaryota, Viridiplantae, Streptophyta, Magnoliopsida, Fagales, Betulaceae. The record is from RefSeq and is a predicted model, not a curated record.
UCCUCUUCUUCUUCCUGCACGCCAGUACUACCCCUCCCAAACAGCGAUUUUUAACUCCGGCAGUUUGGUUUUCCUCCGGCGUUCCUCACUCUCCGGCGUUCUCUAUUUCUGCUUCUAGCUCCUCCCACGUGCACGUACUCCCUCCUCUCUCCCUUGCUCGUUUUUCUCUCUUCUACUCCAGCCGGCAUUGUCUCCCUCCCGGCGACCUCUGUCAUUCCGGCGGCGUCGAACCCAGGUUCAGGAAACAGGACGAACAGUUGAUAAGUUUGGAAAGUCCGUGAAAGAUAUAGGAGUUGAUCCAAUGCUUCCAGCACUGGAAACCCCUUCAGACUGGCCUCUGGAAUUUGAGAGGCAGCAAAAAAUGAUUCAUGAACUAUGGAAAACUUGCCAUCUGUCAUUAUUCCACAGAACCUACUUCUUCCUGCUCUUCAAAGAUUCAUGUGCUAUGAACGUCCCUGCAAAAUUUCAGCUCAAUCGGACCACAAACGCCCAUCGAUCGGAGCUAUUGAUCAAGACUGGACAGCAUUUCCAGAAUGCUGUUUCACCCAUGUCCGGACAUGCCUUCCCCGAGUCCGGACCUCAUUUCCAGACACUCAAAUUUUGCCCCGCAAAGCCGUGUCCGGACAGCCCAUUAACAAACCCGGACACCCCGUAAGUUUUAGGCCCAAAAAUGUGAUUUUAAGUGGGUUAGGUCUAGGGUUUUGUCGGGGGUAUAUAUACAUCAUUAUAGAAGAGAGAAGCACGAAUUUUCACCCCCAGAGAGUUCGUCAGAGGCUGUGCUAAGAGAGAUCAUAUAUGGUGAGCGUUAAAUUGAAUCUCUUAGAGUUUUAGUUAUUCUUUUGAUAAAUCUACGGUUGAGAAGUCUAUCGGAAGGGUCUGGUAAAGGAGAAUCACGUUGAAGAAGAUUGUGAGCAAGGAGACGAGUUGUAGGCUUGUCGAUCUUACAGAGCCAACGUCUUGCAAAGGGUUGUAAGUGUUCCUAGUAUUUGUAAUCUCUGGAUAAUCUUUUGAUAGUGAUUUCCUGGGUUUGGCUGCCCCGGAGAGGUUUUACUUUUAGAUCGGUUUCUAAAAGGUUUCCUCUUCGUAAUCAAAAUAUAUGUGUCUGCCUCUUUAUUGUUUUAUAUAUUUUUGGUGAUUGAAUUGUUUAUUGCUUCAUAAUAUUAAUUCCGCAUAAAUUGUAAUAAACAAGUUUUUGGAGUUGGCAUAGCGUUUUUCACAACGGAUUUCAUUUACUUGGGGGUGGAGCUAAGGAGACUGUCUUUCCUCAAGGAAACAUUUUCUAAUGGAAGUAAGACCGUGGAAGAUGGUCGGACUCUCACACUGGCUUCAAGCAUGAAGGCUCUUGGUCGUGAGAGAGAGAUGCUGAGCAAGCUGAUGCAGAGAAGGUUUCCAGAAGUAGAGAGAAAGAGACUUUUCCAGAGGUGGGGUAUUGCAUUGGACUCAAAGCGGCGGAGGCUACAGUUGGCCAACCAACUAUAGAGCAACACCAACAAUAUGAAUCACAUCAUAGAGAGUGCAGCCAUUGUUGCAAAGCUUAUCAGGUUUGUAGAGCAGGGGCGGGCAUUCAAAGAGAUGUUUGGGCUUAGCUUCAAACCUACGCUCUUCAAAGUGGUGAUCCUUUAGCUAGAAAAACA